This 467-nucleotide ribosomal RNA is filed under the name uncultured bacterium. Its description in RNAcentral is "partial 16S ribosomal RNA". It matches the Rfam family "Bacterial small subunit ribosomal RNA", at positions 28 to 506 of the family's 1533-position model. The record is from RNAcentral.
GACGAACGCUGGCGGCGUGCUUAACACAUGCAAGUCGAACGGAAAGGCCCUGCUUUUGUGGGGUGCUCGAGUGGCGAACGGGUGAGUAACACGUGAGUAACCUGCCCUUGACUUUGGGAUAACUUCAGGAAACUGGGGCUAAUACCGGAUAGGAGCUCCUGCUGCAUGGUGGGGGUUGGAAAGUUUCGGCGGUUGGGGAUGGACUCGCGGCUUAUCAGCUUGUUGGUGGGGUAGUGGCUUACCAAGGCUUUGACGGGUAGCCGGCCUGAGAGGGUGACCGGCCACAUUGGGACUGGGAUACGGCCAAGACUCCUACGGGAGGCAGGAGUGGGGAAUAUGGCACAAUGGGCGGAAGCCUGAUGCAGCAACGCCGCGUGCGGGAGGACGGCCUUCGGGUUGUAAACCGCUUUCGCCUGUGACGAAGCGUGAGUGACGGUAAUGGGGAAAGAAGCACCGGCGAACUACGU